AUGGGGAGGAGUUCUUCCCUCGGGACUGGGUCGGGACGCGGUGCCGGGAGCUCCGCCCCGGGUCCGGGGGGGUCCAGCGAGUCCCCAGCUCCAUCGGGGACCGACCCCGGCGUGUGCCGAGGGGAUCCGCGGGACCGGGAGCUGCUGCAGAGAGCCCCGGGGGGCAGAGGGAUGGGCAGAGGGAUGGAGCAGCGCUGCUGGAACAGCUGGGGGAGUCCUGCUUUGGGCAGGAGAAGCUUUGGGGUGACCUCAGUGUGGCCUCGCAGGGGCCGACAGAAAACGAUGGGAGAGAGACAAUUCCCAAGGGCUGGAGUGACAGGACACAGGGAAUGGCUUCGCACUGACACAGGGCAGGGGGAGAUGGCAUUUUGGAGGAAAAUUCCUCCCUGUGAGGGAGAUGAGGCCCAGCGCAGCUGUGGCUGCCCCAUCCCUGCCAGGACACCGGGGCUUGGAGCAGCUGGGGCAGCGGGCGGUGUCCCUGCCCUGGCCGGGACGAGUUUGAUGUCCCUCGGACGCCAGCCCGGGCGGUGGCCGUGGGGGCUGCCCUGCUCACCUCCCUCAGCACCUCCCGGAGCUGCUCCUCGCUGCGGCAGCCGCGCUCCCGCAGCGCCUGCAACACACGGGGCCCGUCAGCGCCGCGGCCGCGGCCCGCUGCCCCGGCCCCGCCCGGCCCCGCGCUACCCGGCCGUGGUCCCGGCGGAGCUGCGCCGCGUCCCGGUACCGCACGUGCAGCCCGAAGCGCCCCACGAAGAUGUUGUCGGUGAAAAAGCAGGCGCAGCCGCGGAACGGCCGGGCCGCCGACAUGUUUCCUGCCGGCGGACGCCUCCCGGCCCGGCCCUCGAAGGGCUCCGCUUCCGUCCGCGGGAGGGCGCGUCGGCAAAUUCCCAACCGGGCCCAAACGGAGAGCGGCGGGACUCGCGCGUUCUGCCCGGUUUGACGCUCCUUGUUUUUGUCAUCUCCGUGACGCCACCGCGGCGCGGCCCCGCGGCGCGGCCGCUGUCCCGCAGGGCUCUCUGCCGGGCCGGGCCC
This 1029-nucleotide long non-coding RNA is filed under the name Chloebia gouldiae (Gouldian finch). Its description in RNAcentral is "Erythrura gouldiae (Gouldian finch) lncRNA (ENSEGOG00005011955.1)". The record is from RNAcentral. Lineage: Eukaryota; Metazoa; Chordata; Aves; Passeriformes; Passeridae.